RNAcentral lists this small RNA (2024 nucleotides) under Drosophila ananassae. Its description in RNAcentral is "GF27340". Lineage: Eukaryota; Metazoa; Arthropoda; Insecta; Diptera; Drosophilidae. The record is from RNAcentral.
ACCAUUUUGUAGCAUACUUUUUUUGGAGUGCACCCACACGCACUCGAAAUCAAUCAGUCUCCUGCUCACAGGACAUGUUACGGGACAUCGCUCUGGCCAUCGGCAGCAUUCAGUCAAUGUAAAUGUAAAUUUUCGCCUUUUUGUGGAUCCCGACACUGUGCGACUGUGGUGGACUCCUCUUUCCCGAGUCCGAAGUCACGACUCCGGCCAUGAUGAAGUGCAGCAGCAGCAGCAAUCAGUAGCAGGAGGACCAGCGGUACGAAGGAGUCAUUGUUGACAUUUCAACAUUUGACCACCGGCUGGACCGACUGACGAGCACACACAUACAUACUUCCUCCUGCCACAGCCGCCACAAAAAGCUCCAUGCUGCGUGUGCGUCUCUCGAGCCGCACUCGAAGGCCAGUUUCCCAUUCAUGGCCACGGCAAGUGUUGCAAAGUUAAUUACCAACAGAACUCCAGAUUCGGUUAGAGCGGGACGCAGUUGCAGUGGCCGUUGCAUGGCAGGCGCAGGAUGUCAAAGGACUCGAAAAUUGAAGACCCCUUGUCAGAUGAACGGCUUUGGGAUAUUGAAAAGAGGUUCGCCAGGAUGGCCAUGGACGCUUUGGUUAAGGAAGCACUGACAGCUAGCAACGACAAACAGAGCCCAUCGACUGUCGGAAGCGUUCCAACCCUUAACGUGAACCGAAAAGCGUACAGAUCCAAGGGAAACCACACCCAUUAUUGGCAGUUGAGGUUGUUGUUUUCAAAUUCGACUUGACAAGCUCCAGAGCCAGAAUCCCGAUGCUACACUUAUUAAAAUUCAUGGGAGAACCACGUAUAGGACCCGGGUGGGCCCGUGAAAGCCUCCGGCGGGAUGAGGAGAGAUCCCAACAUAAACAAAGUAGUUGCCUGGUUGCCUUGGCUCGACGCAAAGUAAACAUAAAUAAGAGCAAACGGAACUGGCAGAGGAGAAGGAGCUGUGCCCUCUGAGGCGACGACAACGACGACGACUCCGAUUAGGUAAAUACGGAGGUGAAGGCGCCGCUUCAAAGGAUUCGAGAUGCCACGACAUCUUAAUGAUGAUGUCAUGAAUAAAUUAGUUGGCGACUGGAUAGAAACUACUAUUUCGGCAGGAGCUAAAUCAUCUCCACGUGCCGGGGCGGAGUAGUGGAUGGGAAUGCGACUUCCCACUCGCCCAACUUAAUGACAAAAAUUAAGUGAACCGCAAAAAGUGGCAUUGCGGUCGCCUGAAAGGGCUGAGACUGAGGGGGCGUGGCAGGCUUAGCCAAAGCCGCCACAAAGUUCAAAAAAUGUGUACGACCCACGCACGCACGUGUGAAAAUCCCUUAUAUCCUCCCGAUGAAGUCAUUUAAAUUAACUUGCAAAUUAUGCAAAUGUGCGACAAAAGUGAGACUCCUUCCGGCCGGGGGUAGGUGUUCCUUUGCAGGUGGCCGCCGGUCCGACAUCCGACAUCAGUGUUGCAGCCACGCCCCUUCGACACCCCGACUGCCAGGGUUGAAAAUUAAUUAGUUGCGCCUAUUUUUGCGAUCAAUCAUUCAAUUUUCUGCGCCAUAAAAUCUCGUCGACCGCCCGGAAAACAAAAAAGGCAUCAACACUUUCCGCAAAACAAGGGCGCCACUUGUCCAACAAGCUGCUAGUUGCCUGCCAUCGCCCCCGGACCUGUCCCUGUCCCUGUCCUCAGACCAUCCCGUUCUGCACUGUUCCGCUGGAAACAGCCUCGUCAUUUAUGCGCUACGCUUUUUACGAUGCGGGCUUGUCCUUGUUCCUCCUCCGGCUGCAGCCACCACCCGGGUUCGAUUUUCGGGCUGAGGGUUGGAUGUGGUAAUGACGAGUUUUUCCUGGAUGGUAGCGAGGACGAGGCUGAAGCUUGGCUUGUCAGGCAACGCAAUCUGUCACCAUCCGAAUAGCAAUGAGCAAAAAGGCGAUCAUGAUUGUUAUUGCGAUUGAACGCAGGGUUCCGAAAAACUCGUUGGCUUAAUUUAUUUCAUCCAAAAAAAUAACACCACUGGAAACAAGAAUCUGGU